Molecule: ribosomal RNA, 253 nt
Filed under: uncultured bacterium
Lineage: Bacteria
Description: partial 16S ribosomal RNA
Rfam family: Bacterial small subunit ribosomal RNA
Source: RNAcentral
UACAGAGGUCCCAAACGUUGCUCGGAAUCACUGGGCGUAAAGGGUGCGUAGGCGGGUCUUUAAGUCAGAGGUGAAAUCCUGGAGCUCAACUCCAGAACUGCCUUUGAUACUGAAGAUCUUGAGUUCGGGAGAGGUGAGUGGAACUGCGAGUGUAGAGGUGAAAUUCGUAGAUAUUCGCAAGAACACCAGUGGCGAAGGCGGCUCACUGGCCCGAUACUGACGCUGAGGCACGAAAGCGUGGGGAGCAAACAGG